RNAcentral lists this ribosomal RNA (253 nucleotides) under uncultured bacterium. RNAcentral describes it as "partial 16S ribosomal RNA". It matches the Rfam family "Bacterial small subunit ribosomal RNA", at positions 524 to 776 of the family's 1533-position model. The record is from RNAcentral.
UACAGAGGGUGCGAGCGUUAAUCGGAAUUACUGGGCGUAAAGCGCACGUAGGCGGCUUGGUAUGUCGGGUGUGAAAUCCCCGGGCUCAACCUGGGAACUGCAUCCGAAACUGCCUUGCUAGAGUAUGGGAGAGGGAAGUGGAAUUUCCGGUGUAGCGGUGAAAUGCGUAGAUAUCGGAAGGAACAUCAGUGGCGAAGGCGGCUCUCUGGUACGGCACUGACGCUGAGACGCGAAAGCGUGGGGAGCAAACAGG